This 500-nucleotide ribosomal RNA is filed under the name uncultured bacterium. RNAcentral's name for it is "partial 16S ribosomal RNA". It matches the Rfam family "Bacterial small subunit ribosomal RNA", at positions 30 to 523 of the family's 1533-position model. The record is from RNAcentral.
AUUGAACGCUGGCGGCAUGCUUUACACAUGCAAGUCGAACGGUAACAGGGUGCUUGCACCGCUGACGAGUGGCGAACGGGUGAGUAAUGCGUCGGAACGUGCCGAGUAGUGGGGGAUAACGCAGCGAAAGUUGUGCUAAUACCGCAUACGUACUGAGGUAGAAAGUGGGGGACCUUCGGGCCUCACGCUAUUCGAGCGGCCGACGUCUGAUUAGCUGGUAGGUGAGGUAAAGGCUCACCUAGGCGACGAUCAGUAGCGGGUCUGGGAGGAUGGUCCGCCACACUGGGACUGAGACACGGCCCAGACUCCUACGGGAGGCAGCAGUGGGGAAUUUUGGACAAUGGGCGAAAGCCUGAUUCAGCCAUGCCGCGUGUCUGAAGAAGGCCUUCGGGUUGUAAAGGACUUUUGUCAGGGAGGAAAUCCCUAGUGCUAAUAACACUGGGGGAUGACAGUACCUGAAGAAUAAGCACCGGCUAACUACGUGCCAGCCGCCGCCGUAA